GCCUGGUUGGCUCAGUUGUGGAACAUGUGACUCUUGAUCUCAGGGUUGUGGGUUCAAGCCCCAUGUUGGGUG
This 72-nucleotide transfer RNA is filed under the name Felis catus (domestic cat). It matches the Rfam family "tRNA". From Rfam's summary of the family: Transfer RNA (tRNA) molecules are approximately 80 nucleotides in length. Their secondary structure includes four short double-helical elements and three loops (D, anti-codon, and T loops). Further hydrogen bonds mediate the characteristic L-shaped molecular structure. tRNAs have two regions of fundamental functional importance: the anti-codon, which is responsible for specific mRNA codon recognition, and the 3' end, to which the tRNAs corresponding amino acid is attached (by aminoacyl-tRNA synthetases). tRNAs cope with the degeneracy of the genetic code in two manners: having more than one tRNA (with a specific anti-codon) for a particular amino acid; and 'wobble' base-pairing, i.e. permitting non-standard base-pairing at the 3rd anti-codon position. Lineage: Eukaryota; Metazoa; Chordata; Mammalia; Carnivora; Felidae. RNAcentral also lists the same sequence under 2 other names. The record is from Rfam by way of RNAcentral.